This is a long non-coding RNA of Brassica napus (rape), 1945 nucleotides long. RefSeq lists it as uncharacterized. The transcript has 2 exons. The record is from RefSeq and is a predicted model, not a curated record. Lineage: Eukaryota; Viridiplantae; Streptophyta; Magnoliopsida; Brassicales; Brassicaceae.
CUUUAUGGUUAAUAAUAAUCUUUGAUUUGAAAGGAUAUUUCAAAAAUGUUUAUAUGAGGUUUUUUGGACCUAAAAUGAUCAACUAGGAGGCUUUAAACUUUGGUUUUAAACUUUAGAGAAAAUAUCUAAACCAUUAAAUAGUUAUAAGUUGACUGUUUCCAUGUUUAUACUUCCAUAUUUCUUGUCAGGGGACCAAUUUAUAACCGAAUUGUUUCUACAAUUUGUACCACUUAAAUUUCACUUUUCAAUAAUAUUUAAUUGUUUUAAGGAAAAAAAAGAAUUAUGAAUUGGUUAUCCGAUCGAUUAUAUGUUUUAAAAGAAUCAGCAAUCUCGUAAGUUUUCAUCUCAUAAUUUUAGGAAAUUAUAGCUGUGCUAGAUUUUGUUUUUUUUUCCAGCAUUUGUCAUUAAUCCCUAAAGUAUUUUCUAUGAUCUUUUUGUUGAUUGAUAGAUCUUCGUUUUACGAUUGCACCAAUGAUUCAAUUUGAAAUUAUAAAUUUGACCAAAGGAAUCAUCAACCCUUUCCUUAUCGCCUCGAUUUGAGAUUGAAAAUUUUGUCCAUUUGUUGGUUUUGUAAUGAUGCAGUGAUGUUUGCGAGGGCAACACGUAUCAAGUGAAUUUGACAUCUGCCCUCUCUUCUCUUCGCAUGCUGCUCACGUAGCACCUCCUCUUACGUAUGCCUAACUGCACAUUGAUUCAUAUGUUAAUUUCAGUAGCUAAACAAAACGAAAAUAAGAAAUAAGAAACCUUUUGGCGCAUACUGAAAGGUUGGCUUUUUUUUUGUCAACUUUUUGUUGGCUUUAACUAGAACCUUUUUUUAUAGCGCCUUUUCAUUUGGUGUUUAAAAAAAAAAACUAGAACCUUUUCAUUUACGGUAUUUUCAUACUUAUUAAAAAAAUAUAUAUAAACGGAAGCGAGAGUGAGCAGAAAUUUUUCAAAUCUAAAUUUUUAGAAAACUCCUGAAAAUUUCAUAAAAUUUUGUAUAAGACAUCAUUAUAUCCUAAUCAACCAGAAUUUCCGCUACUUAGUUCACUUUUAAAGUAGAAAAAGGCUAGUUUAUAAAAAAAAAAGUAGAAAAAGGCUUAAAUACUCUCAAGUAGGUCUUGAGUAGAACUAGAAGUAGAAGAAUAAUUAAUACACAAACUCGUGUUAACCUCAUUACCUUGCCCAAGUCAAGUAAUCAUGUUCAGGAUUACACUAUAUCAAUACACAACUGGCAACACGUCGACCUUGGAUUGAUUGUUCUUAAUCUUAUAUGUAAUUUCUUUUGAUCUUUUUUUUAAAAUAACCUUCUCAAUAUUGAUUGCAUAAGUUACACAUGAAGCUCCAUUCUAUGAGAAAGUAGAGAAGUUGUAUGGUGGUCUUGCUAACCAAUUGGUUAAUCAAGGCCAUAUACUGGACAAUUUUGCAUCUGCGCUUGAUCAGGUGUUCAACAAUAGUCCAAACGUUUCCCCAUGCCAUGUAUGCGAUCAACUUGGAUCUCAGGUUAGUAAUAUCCAAAUUGUCUUUCUAAUUAUUCCUCCCGAGUGGUCUCAUGAUCCUGCACGGUCUCUGGCUUUGCUUUUUGUGUGAAUAAUGUUGUGGUUUGAUUGAUCAUUUUGAUAUUACAAUGGAUACAUGCAAGGAUUUUGUUAGUGAAGCUGAAUCCUUCAGUAAAUUACAACAACACCAGCUAGAUGCCUAGAUGGACACAGGUUCUUAUAUAAUCUUCAACGACAAUGCUCGUCUUGAACUUUUUCUACCAACAUCUCCAGAAACUGACCGUACAAUCUAGAGGAAGCCCACAACAAAAGUCUCGCCGUCCCUUCAUUUUAGAUUUGAUUAGUAUGUUUAACUUCUUCACAUUGUUUAGCUUCAUAAAGCUAUACUAAGUGAGAAAUACAGACAGAUUACGAACUAAUGAUAAAAGAAAGAAUGGGUUUUAUUAAGCAUUACAUUUCUUGGUGAA